GACGAACGCUGGCGGCGUGCCUAACACAUGCAAGUCGAACGAGAUCCAUGGGAGCUUGCUCCCGGAAGAUCUAGUGGCGAACGGGUGAGUAACACGUGAGAAACCUGCCCUGGAGUGGGGAAUAACUCGGGGAAACUCGAGCUAAUACCGCAUACCCUCGGAUGGUCGCAUGGCCGACCGAGGAAAGAUUUAUCGCUCUAGGAGGGUCUCGCGGCCUAUCAGCUAGUUGGUGGGGUAACGGCCUACCAAGGCAACGACGGGUAGCUGGUUUGAGAGAACGAUCAGCCACACUGGGACUGAGACACGGCCCAGACUCCUACGGGAGGCAGCAGUGGGGAAUCUUGCGCAAUGGGCGAAAGCCUGACGCAGCAACGCCGCGUGCGGGAUGACGGCCUUCGUGGUUGUAAACCGCUUUCAGCAGGGACGAAAAUGACGGUACCUGCAGAAGAAGCCCCGGCUAACUACGUGCCAGCAGCCGCGGU
This 482-nucleotide ribosomal RNA is filed under the name uncultured bacterium. RNAcentral describes it as "bacterial SSU rRNA". It matches the Rfam family "Bacterial small subunit ribosomal RNA", at positions 28 to 521 of the family's 1533-position model. The record is from RNAcentral.